GAAAUGCGAUACUUGGUGUGAAUUGCAGAAUCCCGUGAACCAUCGAGUCUUUGAACGCACAUUGCGCCCCGUGGUAUUCCGCGGGGCAUGCCUGUUCGAGCGUCAGUACAACACUCAAGCUCUGCUUGGUAUUGGACCACAUCAGCUCUGACUGAUCGGUCUUAAAAUCAGUGGCGGUGCCAUCGUGCUCUAAGCGUAGUAAUACUCCUCGCUACAGGGUCUCGGCGCGUGCUUGCCAGCAACCCCCAACUUUCUAAGUUUGACCUCGGAUCAGGUAGGGAUACCCGCUGAACUUAA
RNAcentral lists this unclassified non-coding RNA (297 nucleotides) under uncultured fungus. RNAcentral describes it as "sequence contains ITS1". The stretch from base 1 to 105 matches the Rfam family "5.8S ribosomal RNA", at positions 50 to 154 of the family's 154-position model. The record is from RNAcentral. Lineage: Eukaryota; Fungi.